Molecule: regulatory RNA element, 46 nt
Organism: Strongyloides venezuelensis
Lineage: Eukaryota; Metazoa; Nematoda; Chromadorea; Rhabditida; Strongyloididae
Rfam family: Histone 3' UTR stem-loop
About the family: The mRNAs of metazoan histone genes lack a poly-A tail.
Source: Rfam
UAUACGGCCCUAUUUAGGGCCACCUAUUAUUAAAAAUAAAUUAUUU